GCCGGUGUAGCUCAGUUGGUAGAGCAGCGCAUUCGUAAUGCGAAGGUCGGGGGUUCGACUCCCUCUACCGGCACCA
Molecule: transfer RNA, 76 nt
Filed under: Burkholderiales bacterium
Lineage: Bacteria; Pseudomonadati; Pseudomonadota; Betaproteobacteria; Burkholderiales
Also listed under: 4 other names
Description: tRNA-Thr
Rfam family: tRNA
About the family: Transfer RNA (tRNA) molecules are approximately 80 nucleotides in length. Their secondary structure includes four short double-helical elements and three loops (D, anti-codon, and T loops).
Source: RNAcentral